AUACUUACCUGGCAGGUGAGACACCAUGAUUAAGAAGGUGGUUCACCCAGGGCGAGGCUCAGCCAUUGCACUCCGGUUGUGCUGAACCCUGCGAAUUCCCAAAUGUGGGAAUCUCGACUGCAUAAUUUGUGGUAGUGGGGGACUGCGUUCGCGCUCUCCCCUG
This 163-nucleotide small nuclear RNA is filed under the name Sparus aurata (gilthead seabream). RNAcentral's name for it is "U1 spliceosomal RNA (ENSSAUG00010024801.1)". It matches the Rfam family "U1 spliceosomal RNA". Rfam says of the family: U1 is a small nuclear RNA (snRNA) component of the spliceosome (involved in pre-mRNA splicing). Its 5' end forms complementary base pairs with the 5' splice junction, thus defining the 5' donor site of an intron. Lineage: Eukaryota; Metazoa; Chordata; Actinopteri; Spariformes; Sparidae. The record is from Rfam by way of RNAcentral.